AACGAACGCUGGCGGCAUGCCUAACACAUGCAAGUCGAACGAGACCUUCGGGUCUAGUGGCGCACGGGUGCGUAACGCGUGGGAACCUGCCCUUAGGUUCGGAAUAACUCCCCGAAAGGGGUGCUAAUACCGGAUAAUGUCUUCGGACCAAAGAUUUAUCGCCUUUGGAUGGACCCGCGUUGGAUUAGCUAGUUGGUAGGGUAAAAGCCUACCAAGGCGACGAUCCAUAGCUGGUCUGAGAGGAUGAUCAGCCACACUGGGACUGAGACACGGCCCAGACUCCUACGGGAGGCAGCAGUGGGGAAUAUUGGACAAUGGGCGAAAGCCUGAUCCAGCAAUGCCGCGUGAGUGAUGAAGGCCUUAGGGUUGCAAAGCUCUUUUACCCGGGAUGAUAAUGACAGUACCGGGAGAAUAAGCUCCGGCUAACUCCGUG
Molecule: ribosomal RNA, 433 nt
Filed under: uncultured bacterium
Lineage: Bacteria
Description: partial 16S ribosomal RNA
Rfam family: Bacterial small subunit ribosomal RNA
Source: RNAcentral